GGGACGCCGAGGAAGCGAGCCCCGCGGCCGGAGGCGGGCCGCAGCCGCACGCCGCCGGCCGAGCCCACCACUCCGGCGGUCCAAGGCCCGGCCUCCCCGCCCCCGGUCGCCGCAGAGCCGCCCCGCAGACCCCUCCCGAGGCCGCGGGGCCGCGCGGCGCCAGGGUCACGCUCGGGGACAACGCCUCGAGACAGUUGCCAACAGCGUUUUAGCCUUUGGAUUUCCACGCACAUUAUGGCCGGGCUCUCUGUCCGCUCCUCAGCCCACCCAACACCCGCUGUGGGAGGGGGGAUGGUGUGCCUGGCCUUCAGGUGAGUUAUUUAUUGGCUUAGGGACUGCAGUCAUUUUUUUCUUCUUCUUUAAGGAAAAUAAUUCGACUUGGCGGUGUCUUGCACAGGGUGGGUACUCCAGAAAUAUCAAGUUAAUAGAGCAGACCUAGAUUAAAGGUUGAGGUGAGAGGUUGAUCUCCUGUCUUUCAGUGAUCAGCACCUGCCCGCUAUCUGCCCACUCCCCACCACAAAGUCCACGAUAACAGGUGGUCUUCUAAGCCUGCCUGCCUGACAGGAAAGUCAUUAUUGAUAGCACUUUCUUCUGAGAUGAAGAGGAGGGGGGCGCACACUCUGAGGUGCAGGUGGAAGAAUCAUUCCUGGGCAUUCCGCAAUAUCUACACUCUAACCAAGUAACAGAGGCAUACUUAUUAAAAUGCUUAAGGUCCUCCCCAAAUACCCCUAGUCACCUUUCCAGGAGCUCACCGACUCAGGGAAGGAAAAACGGGUUCAUAAAAACAUUGCCUUAACUAUUGGAUGUCAAAGAUGUGAUGCAGAAUAACAGCCUGUGGCACAGAUUAGUGGCCUGGUGUGUCAGGGAAGCCUCUGGAGGCAGGGAGACUAGGCCUGGGAAAAUGGCGAUAGAAAGGGGAAGGGAGUGUUUUUUCAGAUUGCAUGGGAGAGAAGGUGGGAAAAUUAUGCUACAUAGUUUAUGGACCUGUAUUCUAUAGAUGUGCAGCUUUGGAAGUUUGGAGUGGGAAAAUGUGAUGUACGUCAUGUUAUAGGAAAAACAGUCUGGUGACACGGUGAAGACUAGAAUGAAUGAGCAAAAACCAGGAGCUGGUAGGAAGUGACCAUGGCAUUGUAUCAAGUGCCAGAGGAAGCAAGGACCUGUCUUUCAAGUGACAGAUACAGAGAUACAGAAAUGUUAAACAGAAACUCAAAAGCAGCACAUAGCUCUGCCAGUAACUUCUCUAAUAAACUGCCUUCCUUCUACCUUGUUAGUAUCAUUCAGGAACCCCUCUUAGCCAUCUCUGUCUCCCCACAGUGCCUCCCUGAGUACAUUGCAAGCCAAGUCCUGAAUUUUUGCUAAAUGAAUGGAUGUCAGAUAAUAAACUUCAUUGUCACCUUACUUUGAGGGUUCAGUUUCCUCACAUAUAAAAUAAAGGACCGUUUCAAAAAUUCCUUAUCUUCCCCAAAUACUAGGGUUCCAUAAAAUAAAAAAUAUUAUCCCAUCUUAAUACCUGCUGAGUAAAAGCAAUAAUGAAAAACCUAUUUAGCUCUCAUCAGGAAAUGAAAUAAUGAGCUCUUCCACAUGGAAAGGAGAAGUAACAAAAUAAAGUCAAAAGCAAGGUGCUAAUAAUACCACUGAAGUUGGGUUUGCUUUCUGUCAUGAAAGACUAACGUCUCCCUGCAUCCUUCUCACUGCCAAAAAUAAAGUUUUCUGUGCCCCCACUGAAUUCUUUCUUCUUCUCAGUGUAAAACCCCUCAUGGUGCUUUUUCAGUAAGUU
Manis javanica (Malayan pangolin) is the source of this 1777-nucleotide non-coding RNA. The record is from RefSeq and is a predicted model, not a curated record. Lineage: Eukaryota; Metazoa; Chordata; Mammalia; Pholidota; Manidae.